Molecule: long non-coding RNA, 810 nt
Organism: Cucurbita maxima (winter squash)
Lineage: Eukaryota; Viridiplantae; Streptophyta; Magnoliopsida; Cucurbitales; Cucurbitaceae
Exons: 4
Source: RefSeq, a predicted model, not a curated record
CCAACAUUUGGCGCCUUAAUUUAUCCGCCGUCCGUUGCGGCUUUUGGCAAAAGAAGUUGAUUCGAAGGCGAGAUGAGUCGUCUUCAACCACGCCUCCCUGCGCACUCGUUUUCCGAUUGGUUUGUGGGACCAAAACUUUAUCCAGUUCAUAAUUUCAGUUCCUUUUCCCAUUUCAUCGACUCACAUUAACUCGUGAGAGGAAUCGCGUUCCAAGUUCAUACUCACUGUUUUGGUGUCUCCAUGUUAACUCUACAAUAUUCUAGCGACUGCUUUCUCAACGAUGCUCUGUUUGCUUUGACGCAAAAUGGUUCAGAAAACGUACCUGCUUCUUUACCAUGAGAGCUUUGCAGAUCAUUAAUAUGGCCAUCUGCUCUGUUUUCUUCAAUUAAUCAACAAGUUUUGAGUACAGCCUUCCCUUUUCAGAAAGGCCGUUUGUAACAACCCGGAUGGAUCCAACCUGACCUUUCAAUCAUUGCAGUGGCUUCCUUUUUCCUGCUCUAUGUUGUGGGCAGGUUUCAUUGGUAUGCCGUCUUAGUAUACAUGGAAUCUUGAUUCUGAAGAAUGAUUAGACCUUUCUUUAUUAUUCGUGGAGAUCAGGGACGACACCCUCCUGGAUAUUGGAACUCUCUCUUGGGCCGCGGUAACCUUUCUUCAUUUGCGGAUGAACAUCUCUUGCUUCAGCACAUUGAUACUACUACUAUUUCACAGGUUAAGCAACAUUAAGAAAUGGAGAGUCACGAGAGGAGUAGUGUAGAGCAGGAUCGUGAUGCAGAACUAUUAUGUGUUGGUGACUUGCAGAUGUAAUCGGUU